RNAcentral lists this long non-coding RNA (633 nucleotides) under Oryza brachyantha (malo sina). Its description in RNAcentral is "long non-coding RNA (OBRA_LNC001546)". The record is from RNAcentral. Lineage: Eukaryota; Viridiplantae; Streptophyta; Magnoliopsida; Poales; Poaceae.
GAUUGCGCUUCCCUCCCUGCAGAUCAAACGCCUCCAAGAUUGCUCCUGCCACUGCGAGGAAAAAAAUUGCUUUCUUAGGGGCAUUUUAGGGGCUGCUACUAAAACAGCAUUCAGCAUUUUGCAUCGUGCACAUAAUCUAGAACAAAAUAGUGGAACAUAAAACAAAUUCAGUGGGCAUUAAUAUUAGUGCCUACAGAGGAACAAACGACACAAGACAAUUUAGUAUCUGAUAAACCGUGCAUUGCUGAGGGCAUACAACUACUAUUUAGAUUAAAUAUAAAGAUCUGCAUUUUUCAAAGCUAGCUGAAAUCAACAAAUAUCAUCUGUAAUCUCGAGAGAAACAGGAGCUAUCUCAGCACGACAACAUUAUACAUAGCAGUAAGAGGAGACAGCAGUACAACACACUGUAAACUAAGCACAUCUGAGCCAGGUUGCCAGUAAACAUACCUCAGUACCUCAUCAAGACAAACAAAAUUGAGCUAGGAUGUCAAAACAAGUCCCCCAUCCCCACAAACACCCACAAAAUUCUGGCAGUCUGGCUCUGCUCUUCAACAAAUUCCUUAGCUGCUUGCUAGGAUGUCAAGCUUGAACCUAAAGAGACAAUGUUAGAAAAACUUAAAAAAAAAAAGACUU